Molecule: ribosomal RNA, 485 nt
Filed under: uncultured bacterium
Lineage: Bacteria
Description: partial 16S ribosomal RNA
Rfam family: Bacterial small subunit ribosomal RNA
Source: RNAcentral
AUUGAACGCUGGCGGCAGGCUUAACACAUGCAAGUCGAGCGGGGGAAGGUAGCUUGCUACCGGACCUAGCGGCGGACGGGUGAGUAAUGCUUAGGAAUCUGCCUAUUAGUGGGGGACAACAUCUCGAAAGGGAUGCUAAUACCGCAUACGUCCUACGGGAGAAAGCAGGGGAUCUUCGGACCUUGCGCUAAUAGAUGAGCCUAAGGCGGAUUAGCUAGUUGGUGGGGUAAAGGCCUACCAAGGCGACGAUCUGUAGCGGGUCUGAGAGGAUGAUCCGCCACACUGGGACUGAGACACGGCCCAGACUCCUACGGGAGGCAGCAGUGGGGAAUAUUGGACAAGAGGGGGAACCCUGAUCCAGCCAUGCCGCGGGUGUGAAGAAGGCCUUAUGGUUGUAAAGCACUUUAAGCGAGGAGGAGGCUACUUUAGUUAAUACCUAGAGAUAGUGGACGUUACUCGCAGAAUAAGCACCGGCUAACUCUGUG